RNAcentral lists this ribosomal RNA (497 nucleotides) under uncultured bacterium. RNAcentral describes it as "partial 16S ribosomal RNA". It matches the Rfam family "Bacterial small subunit ribosomal RNA", at positions 28 to 507 of the family's 1533-position model. The record is from RNAcentral.
GAUGAACGCUGGCGGCGUGCCUAAUACAUGCGAGUCGAGUGAACAGACGAGGAGCUUGCUCCUCUGACGUUAGCGGCGGACGGGUGAGUAACACGUGGAUAACCUACCUAUAAGACUGGGAUAACUUCGGGAAACCGGAGCUAAUACCGGAUAAUAUAUUGAACCGCAUGGUUCAAUAGUGAAAGACGGUUUUGCUGUCACUUAUAGAUGGAUCCGCGCCGCAUUAGCUAGUUGGUAAGGUAACGGCUUACCAAGGCAACGAUGCGUAGCCGACCUGAGAGGGUGAUCGGCCACACUGGAACUGAGACACGGUCCAGACUCCUACGGGAGGCAGCAGUAGGGAAUCUUCCGCAAUGGACGAAAGCCUGACGGAGCAACGCCGCGUGAGUGAUGAAGGUCUUCGGAUCGUAAAACUCUGUUAUUAGGGAAGAACAAAUGUGUAAGUAACUAUGCACGUCUUGACGGUACCUAAUCAGAAAGCCACGGCUAACUACGUG